This 252-nucleotide ribosomal RNA is filed under the name uncultured bacterium. RNAcentral's name for it is "partial 16S ribosomal RNA". It matches the Rfam family "Bacterial small subunit ribosomal RNA", at positions 524 to 776 of the family's 1533-position model. The record is from RNAcentral.
UACGUAGGUCCCGAGCGUUGUCCGGAUUUAUUGGGCGUAAAGCGAGCGCAGGUGGUUUAUUAAGUCUGGUGUAAAAGGCAGUGGCUCAACCAUUGUAUGCAUUGGAAACUGGUAGACUUGAGUGCAGGAGAGGAGAGUGGAAUUCCAUGUGUAGCGGCGAAAUGCGUAGAUAUAUGGAAGAACACCGGUGGCGAAAGCGGCUCUCUGGCCUGUAACUGACACUGAGGCUCGAAAGCGUGGGGAGCAAACAGG